RNAcentral lists this ribosomal RNA (254 nucleotides) under uncultured bacterium. RNAcentral describes it as "partial 16S ribosomal RNA". It matches the Rfam family "Bacterial small subunit ribosomal RNA", at positions 524 to 776 of the family's 1533-position model. The record is from RNAcentral.
UACGAAGGGGGCUAGCGUUGCUCGGAAUCACUGGGCGUAAAGGGUGCGUAGGCGGGUCUUAAGUCAGGGGUGAAAUCCUGGAGCUCAACUCCAGAACUGCCUUUGAUACUGAGGAUCUUGAGUUCGGGAGAGGUGAGUGGAACUGCGAAGUGUAGAGGUGAAAUUCGUAGAUAUUCGCAAGAACACCAGUGGCGAAGGCGGCUCACUGGCUCGUAACUGACGCUCAUGGCACGACAGCGUGGGGAUCAAACAGG